AUUGAACGCUAGCGGGAUGCCUUACACAUGCAAGUCGAACGAGUGGCGAACGGGUGAGUAAUGUAUCGGAACGUGCCCAGUAGCGGGGGAUAACUACGCGAAACGUAGCUAAUACCGCAUACUAUUGGAGCGGCCGAUAUCGGAUUAGCUAGUUGGUGGGGUAACGGCUCACCAAGGCGACGAUCCGUAGCUGGUUUGAGAGGACGACCAGCCACACUGGGACUGAGACACGGCCCAGACUCCUACGGGAGGCAGCAGUAGGGAAUAUUCGGCAAUGGAAGAAAGUCUGACCGAGCAACGCCGCGUGAGUGAAGAAGGCCUUCGGGGUGUAAAGCACUUUUGGCAGGAAAGCGGUACCUGCAGAAUAAGCACCGGCUAACUACGUGCCAGCAGCCGCGGUAAUUC
RNAcentral lists this ribosomal RNA (405 nucleotides) under uncultured bacterium. Its description in RNAcentral is "partial 16S ribosomal RNA". It matches the Rfam family "Bacterial small subunit ribosomal RNA", at positions 30 to 526 of the family's 1533-position model. The record is from RNAcentral.